AUUACCUUAGUAACGGCGAGUGAAGCGGUAAAAGCUCAAAUUUGAAAUCUAGUACCUUCGGUGCUCGAGUUGUAAUUUGUAGAGGGAUACUUUGGGGCCGUUCCUUGUCUAUGUUCCUUGGAACAGGACGUCAUAGAGGGUGAGAAUCCCGUGUGGCGAGGAGUGCGGUUCUAUGUAAAGUGCUCUCGAAGAGUCGAGUUGUUUGGGAAUGCAGCUCUAAGUGGGUGGUAAAUUCCAUCUAAAGCUAAAUAUUGGCGAGAGACCGAUAGCGAACAAGUACAGUGAUGGAAAGAUGAAAAGAACUUUGAAAAGAGAGUGAAAAAGUACGUGAAAUUGUUGAAAGGGAAGGGCAUUUGAUCAGACAUGGUGUUUUGUGCCCUCUGCUCCUUGUGGGUGGGGGAAUCUCGCAGCUCACUGGGCCAACAUCAGUUUUGGCGGCAGGAUAAAUCUAUAGGAAUGUAGCUUGCUUCGGGAAGUGUUAUAGCCUGUGGGAAUACUGCCAGCCGGGACUGAGGACUGCGACUUUGUCAAGGAUGUUGGCAUAAUGGUUAAAUGCCGCC
Molecule: ribosomal RNA, 560 nt
Filed under: Kazachstania martiniae
Lineage: Eukaryota; Fungi; Ascomycota; Saccharomycetes; Saccharomycetales; Saccharomycetaceae
Description: LSU rRNA
Rfam family: Eukaryotic large subunit ribosomal RNA
Source: RNAcentral